This 468-nucleotide ribosomal RNA is filed under the name uncultured bacterium. RNAcentral's name for it is "partial 16S ribosomal RNA". It matches the Rfam family "Bacterial small subunit ribosomal RNA", at positions 28 to 507 of the family's 1533-position model. The record is from RNAcentral.
GACGAACGCUGGCGGCGUGCUUAACACAUGCAGGUCGAACGGAAAGGCCCUGCUUUUGUGGGGUGCUCGAGUGGCGAACGGGUGAGUAACACGUGAGUAACCUGCCCUUGACUUUGGGAUAACUUCAGGAAACUGGGGCUAAUACCGGAUAGGAGCUCCUGCUGCAUGGUGGGGGUUGGAAAGUUUCGGCGGUUGGGGAUGGACUGGCGGCUUAUCAGCUUGUUGGUGGGGUAGUGGCUUACCAAGGCUUUGACGGGUAGCCGGCCUGAGAGGGUGACCGGCCACAUGGGGACUGAGAUACGGCCCAGACUCCUACGGGAGGCAGCAGUGGGGAAUAUUGCACAAUGGGCGGAAGCCUGAUGCAGCAACGCCGCGUGCGGGAUGACGGCCUUCGGGUUGUAAACCGCUUUCGCCUGUGACGAAGCGUGAGUGACGGUAAUGAGUAAAGAAGCACCGGCUAACUACGUG